RNAcentral lists this ribosomal RNA (301 nucleotides) under uncultured bacterium. Its description in RNAcentral is "bacterial SSU rRNA". It matches the Rfam family "Bacterial small subunit ribosomal RNA", at positions 509 to 809 of the family's 1533-position model. The record is from RNAcentral.
CAGCAGCCGCGGUAAUACGUAGGGUGCGAGCGUUGUCCGGAAUUAUUGGGCGUAAAGGGCUCGUAGGCGGUCUGUCACGUCGGGAGUGAAAACUCAGGGCUUAACCCUGAGCCUGCUUCCGAUACGGGCAGACUAGAGGUAUGCAGGGGAGAACGGAAUUCCUGGUGUAGCGGUGAAAUGCGCAGAUAUCAGGAGGAACACCGGUGGCGAAGGCGGUUCUCUGGGCAUUACCUGACGCUGAGGAGCGAAAGUGUGGGGAGCGAACAGGAUUAGAUACCCUGGUAGUCCACACCGUAAACGU